UUGGAGGGCAAGUCUGGUGCCAGCAGCCGCGGUAAUUCCAGCUCCAAUAGCGUAUAUUAAAGUUGUUGCAGUUAAAAAGCUCGUAGUUGAACUUCGGGGUCUACCCAUUGGUCAGGCUUAAUUGUCUGCACUGGGGAGAUGGAUCUCUACCUUCUGAGGAACUUUCAUGCCGUUUAUUUGGGGUGAUGGGAAAUCACGACUGUUACUUUGAAAAAAUUAUAGUGUUGAAAGCAGACUAUCGUCUGAAUACAUUAGCAUGGAAUAAUGAAAUAGGACGGACUGAUUCUAUUUCGUUGGUUUCUAGGAUCACCGUAAUGAUUAAUAGGGAUAGUUGGGGGCAUUAGUAUUCAAUUGUUGAGGUGAAAUUCUUGGAUUUAUUGAAUACUAACUACUGCGAAAGCAUUUGCCAAGGAUGUUUUCAUUAAUCAAGAACGAAAGUUAGGGGAUCGAAGACGAUCAAAUACCGUCGUACUCUUAACCAUAAACUAUGCCGACUAAGGAUCGGGCGAAGUUAAUUUUAUAAUGACGCGUUCGGCACCUUACGGGAAACCAAAGUGUUUGGGUUC
RNAcentral lists this ribosomal RNA (566 nucleotides) under uncultured Glomeromycotina. Its description in RNAcentral is "SSU rRNA". It matches the Rfam family "Eukaryotic small subunit ribosomal RNA", at positions 548 to 1114 of the family's 1831-position model. Lineage: Eukaryota; Fungi; Glomeromycota. The record is from RNAcentral.